This 176-nucleotide ribosomal RNA is filed under the name Ilex pseudobuxus. Its description in RNAcentral is "5.8S ribosomal RNA". The stretch from base 6 to 161 matches the Rfam family "5.8S ribosomal RNA". Rfam says of the family: 5.8S ribosomal RNA (5.8S rRNA) is a component of the large subunit of the eukaryotic ribosome. Lineage: Eukaryota; Viridiplantae; Streptophyta; Magnoliopsida; Aquifoliales; Aquifoliaceae. The record is from RNAcentral.
AAAACGACUCUCGGCAACGGAUAUCUCGGCUCUCGCAUCGAUGAAGAACGUAGCGAAAUGCGAUACUUGGUGUGAAUUGCAGAAUCCCGUGAACCAUCGAGUUUUUGAACGCAAGUUGCGCCCAAAGCCAUUAGGUUAAGGGCACGUCUGCCUGGGCGUCACGCAUCAAGUCGCCC